GUGCCAGCAGCCGCGGUAAUACGUAGGUGGCAAGCGCUGUCCGGAAUUAUUGGGCGUAAAGGGCUCGCAGGCGGUUCCUUAAGUCUGAUGUGAAAGCCCCCGGCUCAACCGGGAAGGGUCAUUGGAAACUGGGGAACUUGAGUGCAGAAGAGGAGAGUGGAAUUCCACGUGUAGCGGUGAAAUGCGUAGAGAUGUGGAGGAACACCAGUGGCGAAGGCGACUCUCUGGUCUGUAACUGACGCUGAGGAGCGAAAGCGUGGGGAGCGAACAGGAUUAGAAACCCGCGUAGUCC
RNAcentral lists this ribosomal RNA (292 nucleotides) under uncultured prokaryote. RNAcentral describes it as "partial 16S ribosomal RNA". It matches the Rfam family "Bacterial small subunit ribosomal RNA", at positions 505 to 796 of the family's 1533-position model. The record is from RNAcentral.